Molecule: long non-coding RNA, 547 nt
Filed under: Monodelphis domestica (gray short-tailed opossum)
Lineage: Eukaryota; Metazoa; Chordata; Mammalia; Didelphimorphia; Didelphidae
Description: lncRNA (ENSMODG00000035833.2)
Source: RNAcentral
AGAAGCUCUAAGAUCAAACUGUUAGAAUGCAAAAGAAAAGAAAUGGUGACAACAUAUAGAUAGGCUUUGCUUGAAUGGAUUUCCUUCUCUCUCCUGAAGUCCUUUUGUCACAUUCAAUGCUGUUGCCUCCUGUAAUACAACUCCCGGAAUGGAAAUGACAUGAUGUCAGAGGUAAUUCCUGCAAAACCAGUUUCAGGUGCCCAAGGUGACCCUUGUAGGACCUGAGAGCUUGAACCACGAUGACAUUGGAGCCUCAUAGGACUUCAGAUGGGAUGAUCCAGCAAGCCAACCCAAAUAGAGCCAAGGUCCUCUUACUAUCUGGCUUGACGGCUCCUGAAACUGCUAGUGUUUCUGCUUUUGUCAACAUCAUCAAGUCCCACCACUGGUGUUUUCAUCCACAUGGACUUCUGGCAACCAAUGGGCCUUUUUGAGCAAAGAAUAAUAUGGUCAGAUAUGGAUUUUAUAAAUAUCAACUUGGCAACUUGAUUAGAGAAGAAAGGAGACUGAAAGUAGUUUGUAAAUCUAUUUACUACACCUGAUGCUGUGU